GCCAGCAGCCAUGUCGCCCUGCAACUCCCAGCUGGCAGCCCCCCCCCCCCCACUGAAGCUCAGCGGGUGUGAGCCUGGUCAGUACCUGGAUGGGGAGACCUCCUGGGAAAAAACUAAGGCUGCUGCUGGAA
RNAcentral lists this ribosomal RNA (131 nucleotides) under Lepisosteus oculatus (spotted gar). The record is from RNAcentral. Lineage: Eukaryota; Metazoa; Chordata; Actinopteri; Semionotiformes; Lepisosteidae.